This 383-nucleotide long non-coding RNA is filed under the name Sorghum bicolor (sorghum). RNAcentral describes it as "long non-coding RNA (SBIC_LNC001234)". The record is from RNAcentral. Lineage: Eukaryota; Viridiplantae; Streptophyta; Magnoliopsida; Poales; Poaceae.
UCCACUUGAGUAGAACUCUAUAAAUGCCAUCACGCUACCUUUGUUUAUCCUAGUAAGUGUUAGUUUGGAAGUACUGCACAUACUUCUAUUGGCUUUUAAAUUAAACAUGGUGCUUAGGUUAAACAGCCUCCCUUAAUAUGAUUAGACAUGGAGUCUAGUUUGGUUAUUGAGCUAAAAGCUGCUUGUGUAGACAUUGGUAUAUUCUGUCAGACUAACCCCUGCAGAAAAACUUUCAAUAUCGAUUUGCGAAGUCCUGAGAUAAACUCACAUCGGAGAUGAAGAGAGAGACACAUGAAGUGUAACAAUUUGCACAAGAAGGACAUAGCUCAUAGAGAGAUGAUCCAUGGAAGGAGACAAAGUACACAAACACGAUGCACAACCGC